GGGGUUAUAGUUCAGUGGUAGGGCACACGCUUAGCACGCAUCAAGUCCUGGGUUCAGUCCCCAGUGCCUCUG
RNAcentral lists this transfer RNA (72 nucleotides) under Camelus bactrianus (Bactrian camel). It matches the Rfam family "tRNA". Rfam says of the family: Transfer RNA (tRNA) molecules are approximately 80 nucleotides in length. Their secondary structure includes four short double-helical elements and three loops (D, anti-codon, and T loops). Further hydrogen bonds mediate the characteristic L-shaped molecular structure. tRNAs have two regions of fundamental functional importance: the anti-codon, which is responsible for specific mRNA codon recognition, and the 3' end, to which the tRNAs corresponding amino acid is attached (by aminoacyl-tRNA synthetases). tRNAs cope with the degeneracy of the genetic code in two manners: having more than one tRNA (with a specific anti-codon) for a particular amino acid; and 'wobble' base-pairing, i.e. permitting non-standard base-pairing at the 3rd anti-codon position. The record is from Rfam by way of RNAcentral. Lineage: Eukaryota; Metazoa; Chordata; Mammalia; Artiodactyla; Camelidae. RNAcentral also lists the same sequence under 2 other names.